This 71-nucleotide transfer RNA is filed under the name Loxodonta africana (African savanna elephant). It matches the Rfam family "tRNA". From Rfam's summary of the family: Transfer RNA (tRNA) molecules are approximately 80 nucleotides in length. Lineage: Eukaryota; Metazoa; Chordata; Mammalia; Proboscidea; Elephantidae. The record is from Rfam by way of RNAcentral.
GCAGUGGUGGCUCAGUGGUAGAAUUUCCACCUUCCACGCGGGAAACCCGGGUUUGAUUCCCAGCCAGUGCA